GGCGGCAUGCUUAACACAUGCAAGUCGCACGAAUUCCUUCGGGGGUUAGUGGCGGACGGGUGAGUAUCGCGUAGGGAUUUGUCGUUGGGUGGGGGAUAACCUUGGGAAACUGGGGCUAAUACCGCAUGACGCCUGAGGGCCAAAGUUUCGGCGCCUGACGAGAAGCCUGCGUCCGAUUAGGUAGUUGGUUGGGUAAUGGCUGACCAAGCCUGCGAUCGGUAGCUGGUCUGAGAGGAUGAUCAGCCACACUGGGACUGAGACACGGCCCAGACUCCUACGGGAGGCAGCAGUGGGGAAUAUUGGACAAUGGGCGCAAGCCUGAUCCAGCAAUGCCGCGUGGAUGAAGAAGGUUUUCGGAUUGCAAAGUCCUUUCGGCGGGGACGAUGAUGACGGUACCCGCAGAAGAAGCCCCGGCUAACUUCGUGCCAGCAGCCGCGGUAAUAC
Molecule: ribosomal RNA, 444 nt
Filed under: uncultured Alphaproteobacteria bacterium
Lineage: Bacteria; Pseudomonadati; Pseudomonadota; Alphaproteobacteria
Description: bacterial SSU rRNA
Rfam family: Bacterial small subunit ribosomal RNA
Source: RNAcentral